RNAcentral lists this small nucleolar RNA (173 nucleotides) under Thermococcus thioreducens. RNAcentral's name for it is "HgcF RNA". It matches the Rfam family "HgcF RNA (Pab35)". From Rfam's summary of the family: The HgcF ncRNA gene was identified computationally in AT-rich hyperthermophiles. The genes were named hgcA through hgcG ("high GC"). The record is from RNAcentral. Lineage: Archaea; Methanobacteriati; Methanobacteriota; Thermococci; Thermococcales; Thermococcaceae.
GCCGACAGCGGGGGGACAGUACGUCUCCUCGCACGGGCUCGGUCUACCCGCCUCCGCGAGGUAUCGGGUUCCGUGAGCGGAGAGUGCUCACGCCGAGCCCACAGGGCCGGGAGCAUCCACCCGCGCGAGGGAAUGAACGCGGGCCUCUGUGCCCGGCCCACAGACAUUUUCUG